Molecule: non-coding RNA, 100 nt
Organism: Drosophila melanogaster (fruit fly)
Lineage: Eukaryota; Metazoa; Arthropoda; Insecta; Diptera; Drosophilidae
Gene: mir-190
Source: Ensembl
CGAACUAAUUGAUGGUUCCAGUGAGAUAUGUUUGAUAUUCUUGGUUGUUUCAUUCAAAAGUUCACCCAGGAAUCAAACAUAUUAUUACUGUGACCCUCGC